This 308-nucleotide long non-coding RNA is filed under the name Ananas comosus (pineapple). RNAcentral's name for it is "long non-coding RNA (ACOM_LNC026586)". The record is from RNAcentral. Lineage: Eukaryota; Viridiplantae; Streptophyta; Magnoliopsida; Poales; Bromeliaceae.
AAAUUUCAUGCUUUAUUUAGAUAGAAGUUAUUAUCUUUGAGCGAAAAUUAUAUUGUUUGAAAUAGAAGUUAUUCUUUUUGAGCAAAAGUUGCACUCUUAAAGUAAAAAUUAUACUACUUUGAGACAAAUCCUGCAAUUUUUGAAUGAAAGUUGUAUUAUUUGAAACAAAAAUUACACUUUUUUGAGAGAAAUUACAGUAUUUAAAACUAUUUGAGACUAAGUUAUACCCUAUAAAAUAGAAAUUGCACUGUUUAAGAUUAAGUUGUACUAGACUUACACCAUUUAAAAUAUUUGAAACUAAGUCUCUA